RNAcentral lists this long non-coding RNA (1652 nucleotides) under Taeniopygia guttata (zebra finch). Its description in RNAcentral is "lncRNA (ENSTGUG00000026979.1)". Lineage: Eukaryota; Metazoa; Chordata; Aves; Passeriformes; Estrildidae. The record is from RNAcentral.
AUGCCCUGCCAGCGGAGAAGCUGCAGGCACUGCUCCGGUGCCCGCGCACUCACCCAUGCAGAGGAAGUGCCCGACCUGCACCCGGCGGUGCUGCAGGGACGCGCACGUCAGCAGGAAGCAGAGCAGGUGGAAAGCCGCCAGCCCCAGCAGCCAGGGCUCCGACCAGUCCGUGCUCUGCGGGCACAGGGAAGCGGCUCAGGCAGCGCCGGGACAAGGGGCCGCGCCCCGCAGGCUCCCGCACCAAGGAGCGCGCCCCCAGACACGGCCUCCCCCCUCCCCGCCGCACGGCCCCGCUGCCCCGGGCGGCCCCGCUCCCCCUCCCCGCCGCAUGGCCCCGCUGCCCCGGGCGGCCCCGCUCCCCCUCACCGCCAGCACGGCCCCGCUGCCCCGGGCGGCCCCGCUCCCCCUCACCGCCAGCACGGCCGACAGCCCCGGCGGGCCGCGCACCGGCGGCUCCAUGGCGGCGGCGGCACCGCCGGCUCUCGCGAGACUCGGGCAGCCGCCGCUUCUCCCGCGGGGCGAUGGCGGGAAGGGGGCGGCGGGGCUCGGAGUGGCUCCUCCUUCCCGAGGCGGCGAACCGCAGAUGUCCCGAGGGUCGGGGCGCGGGCUGAGGCGAACGAACCGCAGAUGUCCCGAGGUUCGGGGCACGGGCCGAGUGGCUCCGCACAGCCCGGUGCCUCCUUCCUCUGCGGGUGCCUCGAGUCGCGUUGUGAGCGCCGGGAGCCACCAAUGUCACCCUGCGCUCUGCGGGUCCCGCUGCACUCGGUGGCCCGGCACUGGUGUUAACUUUCGGUCUCCUCUCAGCAGGACCCGGAGUUGGCUUUAGUGAUGGCAGUGCAGGAAAAAAAGAGCUUUUAGCCCAGCUGGGAGUUAUUUAAAAACAAACACAAUUCAGCUCUCCAGGCAGGAACUUAAGUCAAAUGGAAAACACUUCUCUCCAAGUAAUGCCCACCGUGACCCCCCGCACACCUCGGGGCGCAGCGGGGCCCCUCCGGUUCUCGCCACUACAGCAGAGCUCAAGGAUACAUUUUUUAACUUUGGAAGUUGAAAAAAAAAUGAAAAUACUACAAUGCAAAGGGAACACGACACAGGUUAAACCUCUAAUUUAUAAUUCCAUUUGCUAAAUGCAUCUAGGUCUGGAAGAACCAACUAUUCUUAAGACUUACAACUUAAAGAGCAUUUCAAACUCAGAUUCCUAACAAUGAAGCCAAAUCUAAUCUAAAGGGUUAGAUCUGGUGAACAAACACUAUUUUGAUGUAUAUUGACAUUCUGCUUUCAUUAUUUUUUUUCUGACAUUUUAGCUUAUCAGAUGUGAGGCUUUGACUUCUUUUUCCCAAAUGUUUUGAAGUGCACGUAUAAGUAAAUAUUACAGAUACUCUUAGUUUAGUUUACCAUAUAGCCAGAUGUGGGUCAUCAGUGUGACCUGGUCUUGCUUCACUGUCAGAUUUCUGCUAUUUAAUAUGAGAUACCUGAAACCGAUGAUUUUUUAAUUACUAUUUUAAGGUUUUUUUGUUUUUGGUUUUGUUAGUCUUUUUCUCAACAAAAAUAAUACCUGGGGGCUAAUCAAGGCUUUCACUGGAAAUGUUGUAAAAUUAAGUAAGGUGGUAAGAGUUCUGCUACUAUUGUCUUUAAAUUGUCUAAAACUAGGGGAA